Long non-coding RNA from Prionailurus viverrinus (fishing cat), 577 nucleotides. RefSeq lists it as uncharacterized. Lineage: Eukaryota; Metazoa; Chordata; Mammalia; Carnivora; Felidae. The transcript is spliced from 2 exons. The record is from RefSeq and is a predicted model, not a curated record.
AGUGAUUCUGGCCAGCUGGUAUCUAUGCCUUGUGUAAUCUCCUUCCCUUGAGUGAGAACUGGAUGUAAAGACUCGAUUCUCUUCUGAAGAAGCCAAGAGCCAUGUUUUAAGCUGUCCUCAUGGAAAGGUCUACAUGGCAAGAAACUGAGAGAGAACUUCAGUCCAACAAGCCCAAGGACCUGAAUCCUGCCAACAGGCCCAUGAAUGUGCUUGGAAAUGGAUCCUCCUCUAACUGAGCCUUGAGAUAAGUUUCAGUUCUGGCAGACACCUUGACUGUAGCCUUAUGAAAAACCCUGAGCCAGAGGACCUAGCCAAGUCACACCUAGAUUUCUGACCCACAGAACAUGUGAGAUAAAUUUUAUUGCUUUAAGCUGCUCAAUUCAGGAAUCAUUUGGAAUGCAACAAUAAGCAAAUGAUAUGGGCACCAUAUUAGCUGUGUGGUCUUGGGCUAAUAACUUCUGUGCCUCAGUUUCACAGCUAUGAAAUAGGGAUAAUAAUAAUGAUAUAUCCUGUGAUAUCUGGAGAGGAUAAUAGAAGUUAAUGCAUAAAAGGAUUAAAAUAGUAAGUGCUCAGUAAA